Molecule: unclassified non-coding RNA, 345 nt
Filed under: soil metagenome
Description: partial contains 5.8S ribosomal RNA, internal transcribed spacer 2, and large subunit ribosomal RNA
Rfam family: 5.8S ribosomal RNA (bases 1-120)
Source: RNAcentral
GAUGAAGAACGUAGCGAUAUGCGAUACGUAAUGUGAAUUGCAGAAUUCAGUGAAUCAUCGAGUCUUUGAACGCACAUUGCGCCCCCUGGUAUUCCGGGGGGCAUGCCUGUCCGAGCGUCAUUGCUGCCCUCAAGCACGGCUUGUGUGUUGGGCCUCCGUCCUCCUCCCGGGGGACGGGCCCGAAAGGCAGCGGCGGCACCGCGUCCGGUCCUCGAGCGUAUGGGGCUUCGUCACCCGCUCUUGUAGGCCCGGCCGGCGCUUGCCGACACAUCAAUCUUUUUUCCAGGUUGACCUCGGAUCAGGUAGGGAUACCCGCUGAACUUAAGCAUAUCAAUAAGCGGAGGA